This 497-nucleotide ribosomal RNA is filed under the name uncultured bacterium. RNAcentral's name for it is "partial 16S ribosomal RNA". It matches the Rfam family "Bacterial small subunit ribosomal RNA", at positions 28 to 507 of the family's 1533-position model. The record is from RNAcentral.
GAUGAACGCUGGCGGCGUGCCUAAUACAUGCAAGUCGAGCGAACAGACGAGGAGCUUGCUCCUCUGACGUUAGCGGCGGACGGGUGAGUAACACGUGGAUAACCUACCUAUAAGACUGGGAUAACUUCGGGAAACCGGAGCUAAUACCGGAUAAUAUAUUGAACCGCAUGGUUCAAUAGUGAAAGACGGUUUUGCUGUCACUUAUAGAUGGAUCCGCGCCGCAUUAGCUAGUUGGAAAGGUAACGGCUUACCAAGGCAACGAUGCGUAGCCGACCUGAGAGGGUGAUCGGCCACACUGAAACUGAGACACGGUCCAGACUCCUACGGGAGGCAGCAGUAGGGAAUCUUCCGCAAUGGGCGAAAGCCUGACGGAGCAACGCCGCGUGAGUGAUGAAGGUCUUCGGAUCGUAAAACUCUGUUAUUAGGGAAGAACAAAUGUGUAAGUAACUAUGCACGUCUUGACGGUACCUAAUCAGAAAGCCACGGCUAACUACGUG